UACGUAGGGUCCAAGCGCUAUCCGGAAUCACUGGGCGUAAAGAGUGCGUAGGUGGGUGUUUAAGUGCAAUGCGAAAUUCUGGGGCUCAACCCCAUGAAUGGUAUUGCAUACUGGAUACCUAGAGGAUAUGAGAGGCAAGUGGAAUUACCGGUGUAGCAGUGAAAUGCGUAGAUAUCGGUAGGAACACCAAUGGCGAAGGCAGCUUGCUGGCAUAUUUCUGACACUAAGGCACGAAAGCGUGGGGAGCGAACAGG
RNAcentral lists this ribosomal RNA (254 nucleotides) under uncultured bacterium. Its description in RNAcentral is "partial 16S ribosomal RNA". It matches the Rfam family "Bacterial small subunit ribosomal RNA", at positions 524 to 776 of the family's 1533-position model. The record is from RNAcentral.